Molecule: unclassified non-coding RNA, 405 nt
Filed under: Hevea brasiliensis (rubber tree)
Lineage: Eukaryota; Viridiplantae; Streptophyta; Magnoliopsida; Malpighiales; Euphorbiaceae
Source: RNAcentral
UGUUCUGGUCAUGGAAUUCAUAGGUAUUGUGCUCUUAUUUGUUUGCUUGUGUAGGUAGAUUGGUGUUUGUCCUUUUACUUGGCCAUCGGUAUGCAGAAUUUUAGUUUAUACGAUGUUUUGGUGGAUCAUUUUGGAGAAAGACAAUUUCAUUAAUGUGUCACAGCCAUCAGACUAUCAGUCCUUUAUUUCUUCUAUUUAGCCCAUUUUUUACACAUAUAACCUUGUGGAGUUAAUAGACGCAUCCUUAUCUACUCUUUCGGUAUUGUUACUUUUAAGGAUAUUUCAAGGAAAUAGUUCAAAAUUUUCUUCUUCUUAUUUAUUUCAUUCUUUACUCAAUGAAGACUUCAGAGUUUGUUAUACCAUUGAUCUAUUCUUUUGGUUAUAGGAAAGGCUGGUUGGGCUGCA